This is a long non-coding RNA of Capsicum annuum, 883 nucleotides long. RefSeq lists it as uncharacterized. The record is from RefSeq and is a predicted model, not a curated record. NCBI's taxonomy places the organism in Eukaryota, Viridiplantae, Streptophyta, Magnoliopsida, Solanales, Solanaceae. The transcript has 2 exons.
UAGGGUUAGCAAACAGCCUAUUCUUCCUCUUCAAUUUUAAUUGUCUCGACAUGGCAUCAGAUUAUGGAAUUAUAGGAAAAAAGUUGUGUUUUUGAUGUUGUUCUGUGUGUGGUGUUCGUAUUUGUUGUUGUAAUGGGAAAAAGUUGUGUUUUCUUCGUUGUUCUAUGUGUGGUGUUACUAUUUGUUGUUGCAGUGGAAAAAAAUUGUGUUUUCUAUGUGGUUCUAUGUUUGCGUGGUGUUACUCUUUGUUGUUGCAGUGGAAAAAAUUGUGUUUUCUGGUGUUCGUAUUUGUUGCUGUAAUUGAAAGAAAGAAGGUUUCCUUUUACCUUUUUGUGUUGUUCUAAGUGUGGUAUUUGUUGUUGUAAUGGAAAAAAGUUGUGUUCCUUGUCCUCCAGGUGUAGGAAAAGUGGUUUUGCCAUUGCUAGCAUUUGGAGGAAUCGCUGUUUGGAUUAAUUAUUAUUAUAGGAAAAGACCUAUAAUAAUUAGCCAAGAAGAGGUUGAUGACACAAAGGAGGAUUAUUUGAGUCAGCUACCAGUCGAUGUUUUGUCUUCCAUUCUUGGAAAUUUGACAGUACGAGAUGCUGCUAGGACGACCAUCUUAUCUAGGAGGUGGAAAUAUCUAUUUGCCUCUACACAACUACAACAACUAUCCACAUUUGAAUUCAGAUGCUUUGAUAUGUUGAAAUGCUCGUCCUGGUCAUUCUUGUUGCUCUUACUAUCAACAAAAAGACAAAUUCAUGAAUAGGUUAUACCAGUUUUUAAGACACUAUUGUGGUUGUAGAGUUGCUCACGUUCAGAUGGUCUGUUGCUUUGUGAGAGAAUUUCUUAGUGCAUUUACCCAAUGGUUCCAAUUUCUUACAUUUUCUCUUGAGUUUCUCUCUCA